RNA transcript from Mangifera indica (mango), 2006 nucleotides. It is a transcript of the gene named NKAP family protein, with no coding region annotated. The record is from RefSeq and is a predicted model, not a curated record. The transcript has 4 exons. Lineage: Eukaryota; Viridiplantae; Streptophyta; Magnoliopsida; Sapindales; Anacardiaceae.
ACUGAGUCUCAGCUUCGUGAAUCAGGUACAGGGCUAUUCAUAAUUCCUCUGUCGGUUUAGUGAUUUUGGAGCCUGCCAUUAUCCUGUAGGAGUCAUGGACAAUUCCGUCGAUUACCGCCGCCAUUCUCGUCACCGUUCUCGUUCCCCCUCCCGCUCCCGUUCGUAUUCGCCAAAAUAUCGUAGCCCUAGGAGGAGAAGAAGUCCCGAAGGCGACUACCAUCAAACCCUAAACUCCUUGCCGAAACGAUUUGGGAAGAGCAACCGAGAUUAUAAGAACGGAUACGAUUCGGUAUCGGAAUCUGAUGAGGAAUUGAAGGGGCUGAGCUACAUGGAGUACCGAUGGCAAAAGAGGCAGAAGAUGCGAAAGUCCAAGAAGCACUGUUUUUGGAAUGUGUCGCCGAGUCCGCCAAGGAAUGAGAAUGAUGAUUCGGAGGAUGAAAAGCUUGAUGAUAUUUGUGAUAGACGCGGAGGCGAUGAAGAGAAGGGGAAAAUUGAGUCUGAAAAAUCGGGGGCUUCUGAGUCUGAAUCGGACGAUUUGCAGGCUAAGAAGAAGGGGAGAAAGAAUAAAUCCGAGUCCGAGGAAUCAGAGAGUGGUGAGUUUGAUUCUGAUCCCGACUCUGAAUCCGAUGAUUCAAGGUCUAGGAAGAAGAAGAGAAAGAGUAGGAGUUCUAGGCGUAGAGGUAGGAAGUACAGUGAGUCGGAAGAUGAUGAGAGUGAUUCUGAAGAGGAGGAAGAUAGGAAAGGAAGGAGAAAGCGAAAUAGGUCACACAGGAGUAGUGAGAGAAGAAGAAGCAGUAAAAGAAAGAGAAGUAGAAGAAAGAGCAAGUAUAGUGAUUCGGAUGAGGGCAAGCUUGAGGAGAGCAAAACUGAUGAAUCCGAUGCCAGUCAGUCAUCAGAUGAUGAUAAUGAUAGAUCAAAGAAGAAGCUUUCUUUGAGUUCAAGGCCGAAACGGAGUAAGAAAGAACUUAAAUCUGAAACUGAGAGUGAUGAGAAUUCAGAUAAGGAGAAAGUGGAUGAGGCCAAGCAGGCUGAAAUCAAUGCUGAGGUACUUAAGUUCAAACAAAUGAUUGAAUCUCAGAAGAAACCUGCUUUGGAUAAUGAACCACUGGUGGGCCCAAUGCCGUUGCCUAGAGCUGAAGGGCAUAUUAGUUAUGGUGGUGCACUUAGGCCUGGAGAAGGUGAUGCCAUUGCUCAGUAUGUACAGCAAGGGAAGCGAAUUCCAAGAAGAGGUGAAGUCGGUUUGUCUGCGGAUGAAAUUCAGAAGUUUGAGAGUCUUGGGUUUGUGAUGAGUGGUAGUAGGCACCAGAGGAUGAAUGCUAUUCGUAUUAGGAAGGAAAACCAGGUUUAUAGUGCUGAGGACAAGCGAGCGCUGGCCAUGUUUAACUAUGAGGAGAAGGCAAAACGUGAGCAUAAGGUUAUGGCUGAUUUGCAACGACUGGUUCAGCGUCACAUUGGUCAGGAUGUUGGUCCUACCCACGAUCCUUUUGCUACAAAAGAUGGUGAAGAAACUUGAUGCGCAUGUUUCCUACUGGGGACAUCAUGAUCAUUGCUUUGAAAUUUGGAUGUGUCAUCUUAAACUAUUUGGCAUUAUACAUCACAACUUUAUUGUGACCUAGUGGUUGACAUUAUCUUUGUUUCACAACAAGCUGUAACUUUGAACUACAAAUGGAAUAAAGACUCAGUGUAUGGUCCAAAUGACAUUCGAAUGUAUUCCUAUCAUGCAGCUUUCACUUGGGUUGCUAUUCUUUUAAAUUGCUAGCAAAAAGGUGCAUACUAUAUAUUGUCUCUGGAUAACCUACCGCCACUGUCAGGGAAACUUUUACAUUUUUUUUUCAGUUCCAAAUCUCUAAGUUAUCUAGAGUUUGCCCCAGCUAGAUGCAGUUUAAGCUUUCCAAUUUGGGGUAUUUGAAUUUCAUGUUUCAGUGAUGAAGAGUGUGUUUUUGAAAACUAACGUAUACUAUAAAAUCUUGUGAAAUGAACUUGUAUAGAAUUGUUGCUUACUUUUA